This 535-nucleotide ribosomal RNA is filed under the name Weissella viridescens. Its description in RNAcentral is "bacterial SSU rRNA". It matches the Rfam family "Bacterial small subunit ribosomal RNA", at positions 67 to 576 of the family's 1533-position model. Lineage: Bacteria; Bacillati; Bacillota; Bacilli; Lactobacillales; Lactobacillaceae. The record is from RNAcentral.
UGAAGAGCUUGCUCAGAUAUGACGUAUGGACAUUGCAAAGAGUGGGGAACGGGUGAGUAACACGUGGGAAACCUACCUCUUAGCAGGGGAUAACACUUGGAAACAAGUGCUAAUACCGCAUUACACUAAUAACCGCAUGGUUAUUAGUUAAAAGAUGGUCUUGCUAUCACUAAGAGAUGGUCCCGCGGUGUAUUAGCUAGUUGGUAAGGUAAUGGCUUACCAAGGCAAUGAUACAUAGCCGAGUUGAGAGACUGAUCGGCCACAAUGGGACUGAGACACGGCCCAUACUCCUACGGGAGGCAGCAGUAGGGAAUCUUCCACAAUGGACGAAAGUCUGAUGGAGCAACGCCGCGUGUGUGAUGAAGGGUUUCGGCUCGUAAAACACUGUUGUAAGAGAAGAAUGACAUUGAGAGUAACUGUUCAGUGUGUGACGGUAUCUUACCAGAAAGGAACGGCUAAAUACGUGCCAGCAGCCGCGGUAAUACGUAUGUUCCAAGCGUUAUCCGGAUUUAUUGGGCGUAAAGCGAGCGCAGAC